AUCAAUGUGCAUCAGAUAAUGUAAUAAAAAUUGGGAGUGAUUUGAAGAAAAACAGAAUCCAAACACUCCAAAGAGAGAACACUGAAUUACAAUCAGAGAACCAGUCACUAAAGAAGCAGGUAUCAUCACAAUCACACAAACCAAAAACAAAGCCACCUACUCUCCCCCCUCAUCCCUCCUGACACUCACUCAGACUGCCUUACUAACAUGCAUUCACAUUCAAUGCUGGCCAUAAUUUAGUUAUUAUUAUUAUUAUUUAUUUUAUUUUUUUACCUUGGGAGAUAAAUUAUUAACAAUA
Molecule: long non-coding RNA, 298 nt
Filed under: Amphimedon queenslandica
Lineage: Eukaryota; Metazoa; Porifera; Demospongiae; Haplosclerida; Niphatidae
Description: uncharacterized LOC109581609
Source: RNAcentral